GUUAGCAUUGCACCUUUCCGUUAGUUGGUAUGAACCUGCUAUCUGAUCAUGGGUAUGUGGUGAUGAAUACUACUCACCUGAUCAAGUACAUGAAUGUGUUUUUUUUUUCUUGGAUAGGUUGUAUAGUGCGAGUAUUUAAAGCCACAUGCUCCAUACCUCUGCUAGGGAGGCACAUAAGUGAAAUUUGGAGGGAUGGCUACUCAGAUUAUUAGUUUUGAUUGACCUAAGAUAUUGGAGCAAAUCAAAGCAUAUUUUGUGCUAAGGAAGACAUGAUUCAGGUUAAUUUACUUCGCCAUAUUGAUCUUGUAUUACCACAUCGGCUACCACCACAACAA
This 335-nucleotide long non-coding RNA is filed under the name Brachypodium distachyon (stiff brome). RNAcentral describes it as "long non-coding RNA (BDIS_LNC004364)". Lineage: Eukaryota; Viridiplantae; Streptophyta; Magnoliopsida; Poales; Poaceae. The record is from RNAcentral.